CCGAGCUGAAUCUGCGACCUACAACCAAGGCUCAUGGCAACGCCAGAUCCUUAACCCACUGAGCAGGCCCAGGGAUGGAAACUGCGUCCUCAUGGAUGCUAGUCAGAUUUGUUUCCGCUGAGCCAUGAUGGGAACUCCCUUCAACUUUAUUUGUGAGAGUGUUUUUUAAAUGUUUCACUAUGUAUUUCUUUUAAAUAUGUUUAAAAUAUAACUAUGUUAUUUAGAGCUUAAAAUCUAUUUCAUAGCUUUGUGGAUUAAAAAAAACCCAUCAAAUUACUCACUGCUUAUUAGCUAAAAUGAAAUUAUGAAUGUCCUUACAUGAAUUGGAGCAUAACUGAUUAUCUCCAGUUAGGAAUACAUGUAUUACCUUAAAUUAUUCAACCUUUUUUCUUUCUCUACUGUGUAUAAUGCACUGGACUUGGUUAUGGUUGGUGUCACAGCAAUGCCAGAUCCUUAACCCCAUGAGACAGGCCAUAAGGAAGGGAUCAACAAAUUGAUGACAAAAUAAUUACCAACUUUUUUCUUACUAACGUUGCCCACUUUCAGAGAGGGUGAUUUCUAACUUUGCUUCUUGAAUGCUCUCCUAGGUUUUUUGUGGCUACUCUUAAUUUUAGAUUAAAUGAUUUGAAAUUUUGGAUUAAAUGGUUUGAGAUUUCAAGUCGAGUUCUUAUCUCUACCUGCUUUUUGAAGAUUUCCUAUGUAAAAAUAAAUGGACAAGUGAUCAUAUAGGAUGUUAUUCCCUGAAGCAUCUGAUACUGUUUACUUUCAAAAUGUAAAUACAAGAGUAGGCAGGUCAUUACUCUACUUUUUGAAAGUUGUACAAUCUUUUGAAAUUGUACCACUCUUUUGUUAGUAAAAUUGAAAUUUUGUCUUCUCUAAAAAAUGUUAUUUGAUGCUAAAAAUGUACAUGUAGACAGUCCCAGAGUGAACUGCAAUAAUUUCGUUUUCAAGAUUUGGGGACUGCAAAGCCAGGAUUGGCAAUUAGCAUGUGAUUUUAAUGUGGUGAUUUUUGCCUUCCUGUGGCAGAGUAAAUUGACUCCCACUGAAAAGAUUUUUGCCAUCAUGUCAGUUUUAUGAUCUGUUAAAAGAUUAUGACAUUCUUACUUAAAACUUUGUCAAUUUCAAUAAAGGAUAGAUAAGAAUGUAAAUAUUUUCAUUUCUGGGGUCUCGGAUUUCAUGAUUUUGUAUGGUGUUGAUUUUAAAUCCCAUUUUCCACGUAUAUUGACAUUAUACAUGGAAACGUAUAAAGCGAGACUACAGCUUGCUUCUCUUUUUAAACUAGAAAUUUAAUUUGGAAGAAAUUCCUUUUAGUCUUGGAAUUUUAAGAUGUAUUAGCAGUAGUCUUGUUUAAAGAUUGAAAACUUUUUCACAGUGGAAAAUUAGGAAAUUUCUGAUGUGAAGUGACCAAACAAAUCAUUCGCAUUAGGCUUACAACAUUUCAGAGGAGAAAUCCAUGCCCUUCUGAGUCAUAACUUCAUUUUCAAAAACAUUUAUAACAUCUAUCAUAUACAUUUGCUUCAGUUUGGAUUUUUUUUUUAGACUGGGGGUUCCAAAAGUUUUUGUGAUGAUUAAAGGAUCAUUGGGUUAUCCUAAAAAUAGUGUUUUUUAUUUCAUUAUAAAUAUUGCUGUGGGGCUACAUUCAUGAAUAUGGAAACAUUUCCUACCUUUCAUACUCAUAAAUUCUAAAAGUAAUGGUAUCUGUAAUUAAUACCUUUGUUAAUAAAAGUUUAAUUUCAUGUUAAUUUUAUUUUAUUUUUUGUUGCUUUUUAGGGCGCACCCACGCUGCAUAUGGAAGUUCUCAGGCUAGGGGUUGAAUCGGAGAUGCAGCUGCUGGCCUACAUCACAGCCACAGCAAUACCAGAUCCUUAACCCACUGAGCAGGGUAAGGAUAGAACCCAUGUCCUCAUGGAUACUAGUCGGAUUCGUUUCUGCUGCACCACAAUGGAAACUCCUCAUGUUAACUUUAGUGUUGUGCUAGGAGCCAUGAUGUUUCAUUUCCUUAAAACGAUAAGCUACUCUUUUUUUCAGUCACUGAAGUUAUUUAUCUAUUUAUUUAUUGUCUUUUUCCCUUUUCUAGGGCCACUCCCAUGGCAUAUGGAGGUUCCCAGGCUAGGGGGUCUAAUCAGAGCUGUAGCUGCAGGCCUACACCACAGUCAGAGCAAUGCCAGAUCCUUAACCCACUGAGCAAGGCCAUGGAUCAAACCCCCAACCUCAUGGUUCCCAGUCAGAUUUGUUAACCACUGAGCCAUGACGGGAACUCCUGGAGUUAUUUAUUAAAACUGAGCAAAGAGCCCCUAAAAGAUAUCCAGAUCAGAGCACUUUUUAAAUGUGGUAAUUUUUAUAUAUUAUCUGUGUCCUGAUUGAUGUUGGUGAUAAUGGGUAAGGCAGAAGUUUCCUGAGGGAACACAUUACCUAGAUUCCAUGGGAAGGAAGUGAGUGGUCAAGAAAAGAGAGGGUGUUUGGGGGAUGGUAAGCUCAAGACCAGGAGGGUGAUGGCAGAAGAAAGUGAGGCAGGAGUAGACAUGAAGCUUGGAAAUGAUCUGUAGCCACAGGGAGUCAGAAACAAAAAACCAACACUCAUGCUGAUGAAAUGUCUUAGGACUUGGGUACCAGGAGGUGAAAACUCAGUGUCCUUGGAAACUAGCAAGAGAUGAAUUGCCUUGUUAGGCACUUUCCAGGGUGCCCUGCUGCCUUUCCCACCGCCCUCCCAUGGUAUUUGUUAAUCAUUGUUUUUAGCUAGUGACAAAGCAGAGUGUGAGUCCGUCUAGCUCAUGUAUGUGGUCCUUUUCUCUCUUCAUGGCUGCAAUAUCAACCAGCAGUCCAGCAGACUUUGCCAGAAGCCACAAGGGGUAUCAGGGAGAGAGUAUGGGUGGAUCUUUGCAGAUGUAUCACUGCUGUGAGAAAGAACCAAUAGAGUAAGCAGUGAGAUCCCGCUGUAUAGCACAGAGAACUGUAUCUAGUCACUUGUGAUGGAACAUGGUGGAAGAUAAUGUGAGAGAAAGAAUAUAUGUAUGUAUGAUUGCAUCGCUUUGCUGUCCAGAAGAGAUUGACAGAACACUGUAAGUCACCUAUAAUGGAAAA
RNAcentral lists this long non-coding RNA (3081 nucleotides) under Sus scrofa (pig). RNAcentral's name for it is "lncRNA (ENSSSCG00005026073.1)". The record is from RNAcentral. Lineage: Eukaryota; Metazoa; Chordata; Mammalia; Artiodactyla; Suidae.